RNAcentral lists this long non-coding RNA (401 nucleotides) under Homo sapiens (human). RNAcentral's name for it is "HSALNT0084923". Lineage: Eukaryota; Metazoa; Chordata; Mammalia; Primates; Hominidae. The record is from RNAcentral.
AGUACUGGGAGUAAGAGGUGACCUAUUUAUUUUUAGAAGGGGGCAGUGAUAAUAACCCAGCUCCUAGCUUCAUUCAAGGGAGGCAGGCGCUUUGGAAGUUUGUAAACACCAACUUUCUGAGUAAGGGAGGAGCACUUUUUUUCCAAAAAGGAAAGAACGUCUCUACUGGGUUUUUUUCCUCCUGAUAUUCAGCAUUAGAGUAGAAAAGAAACUAUUGUUUGGCCACAUUAGCCGUGGUUAGCAGGUGCUGCAGCCUUUGCCACUGUUAUUAUUUUUAAAGGGCAGAAAUGCCUGAAGGUGAAGACUUUGGACCAGGCAAAAGGGCUUUAUGGCGCUCCCAAUGUCAGCCAGCUGCGGUGCCAGGAGCUAGGGUGAUGUCAGGCCCCUGCUGUCACGGAGCA